GCCUCCUUAGCUCAGCGGUGGAGCACUCGGCUGUUAACCGAUAGGUCGUAAGUUCGAAUCUUACAGGGGGCGCCA
This 75-nucleotide transfer RNA is filed under the name Bacillota bacterium. Its description in RNAcentral is "tRNA-Asn". It matches the Rfam family "tRNA". Rfam says of the family: Transfer RNA (tRNA) molecules are approximately 80 nucleotides in length. Their secondary structure includes four short double-helical elements and three loops (D, anti-codon, and T loops). Lineage: Bacteria; Bacillati; Bacillota. RNAcentral also lists the same sequence under 1 other name. The record is from RNAcentral.